GGAGGGUGCCGCUGAAUGGUCGGCGACCGGUCUUGAAAACCGGGGACGGUGCACACCGUGGGGUUCGAUUCCUCCACCCUCCGCCA
Molecule: small RNA, 86 nt
Filed under: Actinomycetota bacterium
Lineage: Bacteria; Bacillati; Actinomycetota
Description: Actinobacteria bacterium tRNA-Ser
Rfam family: Selenocysteine transfer RNA
Source: RNAcentral